This 455-nucleotide ribosomal RNA is filed under the name Radix sp. SW527. RNAcentral's name for it is "partial 16S ribosomal RNA". It matches the Rfam family "Bacterial large subunit ribosomal RNA", at positions 1808 to 2609 of the family's 2925-position model. Lineage: Eukaryota; Metazoa; Mollusca; Gastropoda; Lymnaeidae. RNAcentral also lists the same sequence under 1 other name. The record is from RNAcentral.
CAAAAACAUAGCUUAAAGAAUAUAUUUUAAGUAAAUUCUGCCCAGCGUAAAUUUAAUUAGCGGCCGCAGUACCUUGACUGUGCUAAGGUAGCAUAAUCAAUUGGCUUUUAAUUGAAGUCUGGAAUGAAAGGAAAAAUAAAGAAUUAACUGUCUCUUUUUAAUUUAUGUGAAUUUAUUUAUUAAGUGAAAAUACUUAAAUUUAGAAAAAAGACGAGAAGACCCUUAGAAUUUUUAUUAAUAUUAUUUUUUGUAUUUAUAUUUUUGUUGGGGCGACAAUGAAACAUAUUUAACUUUUAAGUUUUUCAAGACAUUAAUUUUUGUACGGUUAAAUUACCUUAGGGAUAACAGCAUAAUAAUUUAUAUAGCUUAUGACCUCGAUGUUGGACUAGGAACUAAAAGACUAACCGUCAAAAUAGAUUGUUCUGUUCGAACAAAAAUCUCCUACGUGAUCUGAG